UGGGGCAGCUGGUGUUGUGAAUCAGGCCGUUGCCACUCAGAGAACGGCUACUUCACAACACCAGGGUCACA
RNAcentral lists this microRNA precursor (71 nucleotides) under Felis catus (domestic cat). Lineage: Eukaryota; Metazoa; Chordata; Mammalia; Carnivora; Felidae. The record is from RNAcentral. RNAcentral also lists the same sequence under 3 other names.